UACCCUUUGAUCAUGGCUCAGAACGAACGCUGGCGGCGUGCCUAACACAUGCAAGUCGAGCGCGAAAGUUCCUUCGGNANNGAGUAGAGCGGCGGACGGGUGAGUAAUACGUGGGUAAUCUGCCCCNGAGCUCGGGAUAACAGUGCGAAAGCGCUGCUAAUACCGGAUAAGACCACAUGACAUAUGUCGUGCGGUAAAAGGUGGCUUUAUUUUCGGAUGAGGCUAUCACUUGAGGAUGAGCCCAUGGCCUAUCAGCUUGUUGGUGAGGUAAAAGCUCACCAAGGCGAUGACGGGUAGCUGGUCUAAGAGGACGACCAGCCACACUGGGACUGAGACACGGCCCAGACUCCUACGGGAGGCAGCAGUGGGGAAUAUUGGGCAAUGGGCGAAAGCCUGACCCAGCGACGCCGUGUGGGCGAUGAAGGCCUUCGGGUUGUAAAGCCCUGUGAGGUGGAAAGAAGGGUCCAGAGGUUAAUACCCUUUGGACUUUGACGGUACCACCAGAGGAAGCACCGGCUAACUCCGUGCCAGCAGCCGCGGUAAUACGGAGGGUGCAAGCGUUGUUCGGAAUUACUGGGCGUAAAGGGCGCGUAGGUGGUUGUGUAAGUCAGAUGUGAAAUCCUCAGGCUUAACCUGAGAACUGCAUCUGAUACUGCAUGACUCGAGUACAGCAGAGGGAAACGGAAUUCCUGGUGUAGAGGUGAAAUUCGUAGAUAUCAGGAGGAACACCGGUGGCGAAGGCGGUUUCCUGGGCUGAUACUGACACUGAG
This 770-nucleotide ribosomal RNA is filed under the name uncultured Syntrophorhabdus sp. Its description in RNAcentral is "bacterial SSU rRNA". It matches the Rfam family "Bacterial small subunit ribosomal RNA", at positions 1 to 750 of the family's 1533-position model. Lineage: Bacteria; Pseudomonadati; Thermodesulfobacteriota; Syntrophorhabdia; Syntrophorhabdales; Syntrophorhabdaceae. The record is from RNAcentral.